Molecule: long non-coding RNA, 225 nt
Filed under: Gossypium barbadense (sea-island cotton)
Lineage: Eukaryota; Viridiplantae; Streptophyta; Magnoliopsida; Malvales; Malvaceae
Description: long non-coding RNA (GBAR_LNC019809)
Source: RNAcentral
UGUAACUUACUGACUUGUAUACAAAAAAACUCUCAGAUGAUAGACGCCCGUGUCGCCAGGUUGUGUGCCUCACACGACUGAGUCACACACCCGUAUCUCAAGCCAUGUGAACCCAAAAUUACCUAAAAUCAAGCCAUCCUAAAACCAUUUUCUACCUAACCAUUCUUACCAUUUGAUCACAUAAUCAAGGGUUUCAAAUAUCAUCUAAACAUACAUAAAUAUGCC